This 483-nucleotide ribosomal RNA is filed under the name uncultured bacterium. RNAcentral describes it as "partial 16S ribosomal RNA". It matches the Rfam family "Bacterial small subunit ribosomal RNA", at positions 30 to 507 of the family's 1533-position model. The record is from RNAcentral.
AUUGAACGCUGGCGGCAUGCUUUACACAUGCAAGUCGAACGGUAACAGGGUGCUUGCACCGCUGACGAGUGGCGAACGGGUGAGUAAUGCAUCGGAAUGUACCGUGUAAUGGGGGAUAGCUCGGCGAAAGCCGGAUUAAUACCGCAUACGCCCUGAGGGGGAAAGUGGGGGACCGAAAGGCCUCACGUUAUACGAGCAGCCGAUGUCUGAUUAGCUAGUUGGUGAGGUAAAGGCUCACCAAGGCGUCGAUCAGUAGCGGGUCUGAGAGGAUGAUCCGCCACACUGGGACUGAGACACGGCCCAGACUCCUACGGGAGGCAGCAGUGGGAAUUUUGGACAAUGGGCGCAAGCCUGAUCCAGCCAUGCCGCGUGUCUGAAGAAGGCCUUCGGGUUGUAAAGGACUUUUGUCCGGGAGCAAAUCCUAGUGGUUAAUAACCGCUGGGUCUGAGAGUACCGGAAGAAUAAGCACCGGCUAACUACGUG